Molecule: long non-coding RNA, 240 nt
Filed under: Mytilus galloprovincialis (Mediterranean mussel)
Lineage: Eukaryota; Metazoa; Mollusca; Bivalvia; Mytilida; Mytilidae
Source: RNAcentral
UGUAUUUAUAUAAGAUUGACCAUUAUGAUAAGAACUGUAAAUGUACAUUAAAUAUAUCAAUUUAUUGUGCCAGUACAUUUGGGAAGAACCGACUACUAACUGGCUCUUAUAUAAAAAAAACAAAGGAGGAAAUGAAUGUUAAUCUAACGAGCUGUUAUUCAACAAACCUGACCAUUAAAUUAAGAAACAGACAUUUGCACAACACAUUUAGCAUAAGUUAACAGGACAAAUAAAAAGAGA